GUCUCGCAGAAAUCACGCCGCUCGCUGCUCUCACGCGCUCUCCUCCUCCCAGACUCUCGUGCCGCCCAAAUCGAUCCCCCUCCCCUCGCCACUGCCACCUCCUCCUCCAUCCCGCAAGCGCCGCCCCACUCCCCGCCGCGGCACCCGUGAUGCUGCCUCGCCCCUAACUCUAAUCGUCGAAGCCGAAGACCAUCGAGCCAGCGACGAUCUCCUCCGCGGCCACCACCGACCGGCUCCGCCGCCCGCGUCGCGCCUCUCUCCACCACGCCCUAAUCCUCUCCUUCUCACGCGACGCCGCCGGUGCCCCUCCCUGCCGACGCUCCUCCUCCUCCCCCCCCCUCCAAAUCAACGCCGCCGACGAUCGGCGCCGCUGGAACACCAUCGCCGUCUCGCCGACUACCGAGCUGAAGACAGCCAGGCCAGCGCCAACUUCAUCGCCUCCACACAUGCCGAAGCUCAUCCAUACCCCUGCCGCCGCCGAUCUACGAAGGUCUCUUCGUUGGGGGGACUCGUCGCCACCUCGUCCGACAUCCCCUUAACAAUGAUCUGGGCCACCCAGGUCCGGCAUUGAUUUAGUGCUGGAGAAGUACGGCAAGCCACAUUCAUUCUACCUAUGAAUGAGGAAAUUUCAUCAGCAUUGUUUUGUAUCCUUUGCAUCAAGUGUCAGUGAUGAGUUAAAUCACUCGAAGUUUGAAGUUUGAAGUUUGAGGCUUCAGUAAGGAAAGGGGCAGCAUAUAUAAAAGAUGGGCAUUAUUACAGAGUGUUUGUGCUGCUACAAUAUUGUGAAAUACAGGGAGACUGAAAUCUUGGAGAUAAAUUACUGAAGAACCAAACUCUAUUUACAAUGUACAGUGCACCUGGGAGGAUGACCGCGAAUGGAGUGACCUCGAUAUCCAAGGGCGGGGCUGUAAUGAGGUGGUACACCCGUGGACCAUGACGGUAUGGUGUGUGCGGCGGAUGCGGGCAAGGAGGGAAUCGCGUAGCUGGCGAAG
This is a long non-coding RNA of Oryza sativa Japonica Group (Japanese rice), 992 nucleotides long. RefSeq lists it as uncharacterized. NCBI's taxonomy places the organism in Eukaryota, Viridiplantae, Streptophyta, Magnoliopsida, Poales, Poaceae. The record is from RefSeq and is a predicted model, not a curated record.